GGCCAGACUCCUACGGGAGGCAGCAGUGGGGGAUAUUGCACAAUGGGGGGAACCCUGAUGCAGCGACGCCGCGUGGGUGAAGAAGCGCCUCGGCGCGUAAAGCCCUGUCAGCAGGGAAGAAAAUGACGGUACCUGAAGAAGAAGCCCCGGCUAACUCCGUGCCAGCAGCCGCGGUAAUACGGGGGGUGCAAGCGUUGUCCGGAAUCAUUGGGCGUAAAGAGUUCGUAGGCGGCACGUAAAGUCUGGUGUUAAAGGCAGAGGCUCAACUUCUGUACGGCACUGGAUACUUGCGAGCUAGAAUGCGGUAGAGGUAAAGGGAAUUCCUGGUGUAGCGGUGAAAUGCUUAGAUAUCAGGAGGAACAUCGGUGGCGUAAGCGCUUUACUGGGCCGUAAUUGACGCUGAGGAACGAAAGCCAGGGUAGCAAAUGGGAUUAGAUACCCCUGUA
This 446-nucleotide ribosomal RNA is filed under the name uncultured bacterium. Its description in RNAcentral is "partial 16S ribosomal RNA". It matches the Rfam family "Bacterial small subunit ribosomal RNA", at positions 329 to 792 of the family's 1533-position model. The record is from RNAcentral.